GACGAACGCUGGCGGCGUGCUUAACACAUGCAAGUCGAACGGUGACGAGGAGCUUGCUCCUCUGAUCAGUGGCGAACGGGUGAGUAACACGUGAGUAACCUGCCCCAGACUCUGGGAUAACAGUUGGAAACAGCUGCUAAUACCGGAUACGAGACGGAGAGGCAUCUCUACCGUCUGGAAAGUUUUUCGGUCUGGGAUGGACUCGCGGCCUAUCAGCUUGUUGGUGAGGUAAUGGCUCACCAAGGCGACGACGGGUAGCCGGCCUGAGAGGGCGACCGGCCACACUGGGACUGAGACACGGCCCAGACUCCUACGGGAGGCAGCAGUUGGGAAUCUUAGGCAAUGGACGAAAGUCUGACCUAGCGACGCCGCGUGAGGGAAGAAGGCCUUCGGGUUGUAACCUCUGUCAUGGGGAAGGAAGUAAGUGACGGUACCCAACGAGGAAGCCCUGCUAACUACGUG
This 462-nucleotide ribosomal RNA is filed under the name uncultured bacterium. RNAcentral's name for it is "bacterial SSU rRNA". It matches the Rfam family "Bacterial small subunit ribosomal RNA", at positions 28 to 507 of the family's 1533-position model. The record is from RNAcentral.